CUGAGUAACUGUUCAUCCACAUUUGUAUUUACCCGUGUCUCUAAGCCUGGUAACUAAUAUUUUAAAAAUGCCUGCUCUCAACUCAUGGAUGACAAAGAAACGUGACUUCGUGCAAAGAAUAUCAGACAAGGAAAAACAGUAAGGAUAUAGGUGAGCAACUUUUACAGAAUUGUAAAUGCAUACAUUAUUUGUUUUUAUGUAUGUUAUAGAAAUUGGCCUCUAAUAACCAGAGGGGGUGGUGGGAUAUAAUAUUGGCCACCAGAUCUCUAAUAACCAGAGGUAGCCUCCAC
Non-coding RNA from Pelobates cultripes (western spadefoot toad), 290 nucleotides. The record is from the annotation of a GenBank genome assembly. Lineage: Eukaryota; Metazoa; Chordata; Amphibia; Anura; Pelobatidae.